Molecule: RNA transcript, 3246 nt
Organism: Triticum aestivum (bread wheat)
Lineage: Eukaryota; Viridiplantae; Streptophyta; Magnoliopsida; Poales; Poaceae
Exons: 3
Source: RefSeq, a predicted model, not a curated record
UUCCCGGUAAAAAAAAUCUAAAGCAGCCAUAUUAUCUCUCUCAAUCUCUCACAUUUUUGUUCAUACUCUCAUGGAGAAGAGAUCCAGGUCUCUCUUAGAUUGGAACAACGAAGUUGGUCAUCGAUCCCACUCUCAAUCUCUCAUGUCUCUCUCUCUCCCUCAAACUCUCAUCUCUCUUCCUCUCCACAAGCAGAUCUGUGUCUCUCCCAAUUGCAAAUUUGCAGCAAGGACGUUAGGGCAUGGAUUCUACGCUCAUCUCCACAUGGAAAUAGAUCGUGUCUCUCCCAAAUUGCAGCAAGGAAUUUAGGGCAUGCAUCUCCUGCGCUCAUGGAGCUUAUUACAGUAAAAUUAUUUUCCUCAUCUAGAUCAGGUUCGUAUUCUCAGUCCUUGCACUGAUUUAUUUUCAAUUUCUUUUUGCCGGUCUGGAUUCAAUUCUUUUCAGGUUCCUCUUCUCAGUCCUCACACUAAUUUGUUUUGAAUUUCUUUUUGCCAGUUCGGAUUCAGUUGUUUUCAUCGUGCCCUUUAAUAGUGUUGUCUAGGGAUUCAAUCUCCUUUAUCGUGUGUCUUCUUGAAGCUGAUGAUUGCCAUGGCAAAAUAAAAUCAGUGUUCUCGAUCCCUCAAAAAACAAAACAAAAAAAUCUUUUUGUAGCGCACAGAAAAGAAACAUGUACCUUAUAUGUAGAAAAAGACACGUCCAACUACAACUCCAGUCCUUCCAAUACGGGUGGAUCUCUAUUUUCUCACUAAUUGACCCUAUCAUUGACUCUCUGCUGUGAUUUGGCUUCCCCAAUCAUAGUUUUCUCAAUCCCUCAACCAAGAUGGGCAGGGGGUGGGGGAUAUGGAGAAGGACGAAGCUCCUGUUGUGGUUGGUGCCGUCGCAAAUGGUGGAUGUUGACCAUGUUGUUCCAUGGAGGGAAGGUAAUAUUGAAGAACAAUUAUCUCACAAAGACAUUGACCAUCCACUCAGCGCAACAGCAGGUUUCUAGGCCACGAUGGUUUAUGGAUCCAAGGAGUAGAUGCACUGACUGCAGUUUGAAGCCAAUGACUGAAUAAUUGCAGGUCUGCUUCUACGGCUGACGUAACCCAUCAUUACUAUCUUCUAGAUUUCAUAUAUUUAUUAUCACUAGAUGAAUUCAGGUCCGAUCGGGUCUUCCCUUUUUCACAUGUGCACAUUUUGCUAAAUGCCAUCUAAUUCCUGCCAUGAAUCACAAAUGGAAUUGCAGUCUGAAAGUUGUGGCACUUGAUUUGGACACACCAUAAAAACCAUAUGAUGCUCCAACAUAAAGUAUCUUCUGAUUUUUAAGUUCCACUUAUUGAACAAUGCACUUCAAAAUUCACAUUUAUGCUAUGCACAGACAUGCAGGUACACUGGAGCAUAAUUUUAUCAAUUACCUAUGGAAGACAGUCCAACAUGGAUGCUCUUAAGAGUACAUGUAUGUAGCGUUUCAGUUUCUAUAGCAUGCACUCACCCCUACCCGCCAUUAUACACUUGAUCUGAUGAUGUUCACUUAAACAAGUUAUUUCAUCAUAUUUUCCACACAUUUCGCUCAACUAAAACAUGUGUAUGUUCAGUUUGUCUUCUUAAUUUCUUGACCAAUUUGCCAACGAGGCUAAAUACCUAUGGUUAUUUUGCGCCAAUUGUCCUUUGAGAUUGUUAAAAGAACUUCCCCGAGAUAUGUAACACUGUUGCUCCUGCUACUUUCGGCCAUUAUAUUAUUCACAUUAUUCAGACUUCUAUAAAUGCGCUCCCAAUUGCAUAAUUUCUUAGCUUAUCGAUUUUAUUUCUUCUAACUUUAUAAAUUCAGAAAUGAUUAUAACAAGGCUGCUGAGUUGUUGGAUUUAAUACAUGUACGUCAAAACUUAUGGCUUUUCAAAACUAUUUGUUCCCUCUUUUGGUCCUCUAAUACACAUUUUCCCUUUACGUUGGAUAACCAAUUCACUUUUGAGCUCAUUUUCUUGAGACGGUGAAGAUUUGUUUUGCUACUCAUGUAUAGAUAUAAAAUUUUAAUGGUCUUCACAAUUCUAUCAAUCAAUAGAGAUUUGAACAAAAUCCGGUUGAUAUAAUAUAUACAAUUUGGCCCGCACAUGUUGUGAAGAGUAAUUUUUAAAGUAUAUUUACAAAGUAUUUUUUAUUUCUAUGCAUGUACAAUAUAUAUUAGGACACUGGACAUGCUCACUACUGGAAUUCCCAAUUUUUCUGAGUGCCAAAUGCACUCGGCAAAGGCCAAAAAAAACACGGCAGCACUAGGAAAACAUGACUAUAUUGGACGUCUGCCGAUAAUGUUUAUUUUGUCGGGUUCUUUUCUACAGGCACUAAGUAGACAACUGCAAAAAACUUCGCUCAGUGCAGAACAAGGGUAACUCGGUAAACAAAUGACACAGACCGAAUGAUGAGUCAAUGACCAUGCCACGUGGCACCAUAGUUUUGCCAUUUUCUGCACUCGGCAAAACUACGACCCAGUAGAGCUACCCAGAUGGCACCAUGUGUCAUGUUUAGGCAAAGGGGUCUUAGACACCAGACAUCUAACCUAACAGCGACUCUGAAUAUCCAUGUUGGUUGAUUGCUAGCCUGAUGCUAAUAUUUGAUGUGUUUUCCUCAAUUUAAAAUCCCCAGGCAGGAUGUUUCUAAAAUCUACGUAUUAACAUCACCUGCAUCGGAUGUUUCUGUAGCAUUUGAGGAUGCGCACAUGGUGUAUAUGCUGAUGAAGGAAGCCUAGGAACAAGCAUAUUUAUGAAAUACAUGGAGAAGAUGGUGUCCAAUAAAGGGAAAAGCAGCGAAGUAAAACAUGAUUAGUUUAGAGUGACAUGAAAGCAGACUGUCUUUCAACAAUAGGUGGAUUCUUAAGAUAACGACAGGUGUACAACACAAGAGCUAUAAUAAGGCCUAACAUGGUUGCUGGAAGAUAUAUUUGUACAAUAAUAGGCAUGCACAUGCAGCUGUAGCAAAAAGAGUUAAUAACUUAAUAUGAGAUAUUCAAUUCCAGUGCCUGAAUGAAAAUAGCUGAACAAAUUUCUGUAAUAUAGCAUCCCAAUAGUUUGUAUAAAUACGGAUGCAUGCAAGUGAUGAUAGACACUAUAUCAUGUCUGAUCCAUAAGUAAGUGUGUGUUGUGCAUUAAGUUUUCGAUUCUUUGUGAUAUGUUUUGAUUAGUUCUGUAGCAUCCAGUUUAACAUCUUAUGUUGCAGACAUUUGGUGAAGUAUCAGAAAGGAGAUUCUGUCGUUAAUUCUGCGUUACCAUGAUGGUAUG